CAUUAGAGCACCCCCAGCAGAACAAUUUGUGAGCGUUCCUUCUGGAGUGAAAUUUCCAGUGAGUCCUAAACAACCUGUCCAGUUCUGUACCACCAAGCUCUCGGAAAAGCUUUAUAAGCCAAGUCCAUCAUUUGACCUUGAGGAUCCAUAUUGUCGUUUGAUGAGGACAACCUACAAUAACCUGCAUGACCCAUGCUUAAAAGAAUAUUACCAGAGUAAAAUCCCUCGACAACGGAUACGUCAGCAGGGAUUUAUCACCAGCGAUGAUAAGGUUGUUUGCUCUUUAAAAGAGUACAACGAGUACAGGGAGUACCUCUCAAGCAUACAUAGAAAGAAAAUGAAAAAAGUAAGUUGGAUUCAGAU
Pelobates fuscus (common spadefoot toad) is the source of this 363-nucleotide long non-coding RNA. RefSeq lists it as uncharacterized. The transcript has 3 exons. The record is from RefSeq and is a predicted model, not a curated record. NCBI's taxonomy places the organism in Eukaryota, Metazoa, Chordata, Amphibia, Anura, Pelobatidae.